Molecule: ribosomal RNA, 497 nt
Filed under: uncultured bacterium
Lineage: Bacteria
Description: partial 16S ribosomal RNA
Rfam family: Bacterial small subunit ribosomal RNA
Source: RNAcentral
GAUGAACGCUGGCGGCGUGCCUAAUACAUGCAAGUCGAGCGAACAGACGAGGAGCUUGCUCCUCUGACGUUAGCGGCGGACGGGUGAGUAACACGUGGAUAACCUACCUAUAAGACUGGGAUAACUUCGGGAAACCGGAGCUAAUACCGGAUAAUAUAUUGAACCGCAUGGUUCAAUAGUGAAAGACGGUUUUGCUGUCACUUAUAGAUGGAUCCGCGCCGCAUUAGCUAGUUGGUAAGGUAACGGCUUACCCAGGCAACGAUGCGUAGCCGACCUGAGAGGGUGAUCGGCCACACUGGAACUGAGACACGGUCCAGACUCCUACGGGAGGCAGCAGUAGGGAAUCUUCCGCAAUGGGCGAAAGCCUGACGGAGCAACGCCGCGUGAGUGAUGAAGGUCUUCGGAUCGUAAAACUCUGUUAUUAGGGAAGAACAAAUGUGUAAGUAACUAUGCACGUCUUGACGGUACCUAAUCAGAAAGCCACGGCUAACUACGUG